RNAcentral lists this ribosomal RNA (253 nucleotides) under uncultured bacterium. Its description in RNAcentral is "partial 16S ribosomal RNA". It matches the Rfam family "Bacterial small subunit ribosomal RNA", at positions 524 to 776 of the family's 1533-position model. The record is from RNAcentral.
UACGUAGGGGGCAAGCGUUGUCCGGAAUCAUUGGGCGUAAAGAGCGUGUAGGCGGUCCGGUAAGUCGGCUGUGAAAGUCCAGGGCUCAACCCUGGGAUGCCGGUCGAUACUGCCGGGCUAGAGUCCGGAAGAGGCGAGUGGAAUUCCUGGUGUAGCGGUGGAAUGCGCAGAUAUCAGGAGGAACACCAAUAGCGAAGGCAGCUCGCUGGGACGGUACUGACGCUGAGGUGCGAAAGCGUGGGGAGCAAACAGG